Syzygium oleosum is the source of this 1131-nucleotide long non-coding RNA. RefSeq lists it as uncharacterized. The record is from RefSeq and is a predicted model, not a curated record. The transcript is spliced from 2 exons. Lineage: Eukaryota; Viridiplantae; Streptophyta; Magnoliopsida; Myrtales; Myrtaceae.
AGCCGAGCAUUGGCCGCCGCCCAGAAGAGCGGAUAACCCGCUCCACUGCGCAAAAAUGGCCACCAAAGUCAAGGAAAGAGGGCAGCCCGGUGCAGAGCAGUUAAUGGAGAGGAUAGGAGGGUAGAGGGCAAGUGACCGUCGACCAUAAAAAGCCGGCGAAGAGGAGAGAGAAAAGGGAGUUCGGUUCUGGGGAGACCGAGAGAGAUGUAGAGAGAGUACCAGAGAGAGAUUGAGCGAGACAGAGGGCCAGAGAGUUUUUCCGGCGACUGCCGUGCUCGUAUCGCGGUCGGCAACUCGUGGUUGUCGCCCCUCCGCCGUCGCCAAAUCUCGGUAGGUUCCCGUUCGCUAGUUUUCAUUUUGAUUGGUUUGGGGAUCGUUUUUUCCCAAGGAUCCCGGUUUGACGGCCUCAAGGCGGCCGGCCAUGGCCCCACUCGUCUCGGGCUUGCCUCCAAGUCGCCGUCGCCAAGCCGGGUAGGGACAGCUCGCGGUCGACGCCCCUGUUUCUCUCCCGCAGCCGGUGUCCCCUGUUCUGUCGGGCCCCUGUUUGCUCUGUUUUGGGCGUCUCGGACAAGAGCACGCGAUUGUUCCGUUCGCACAAAUUCCGGCCCGCGUCGCCUUCACGCCUCCCCCGCGACCUCAUACGUCGUGUGUCGAAAGUUCUGGCUCGGAGCCGAGCCUCCGUGGAGCCGAGAAUGCUUCGUUUUUGAAGCGCCCGCCAUGUGUUUGUUGAAAUACCUAAGUGAGAUCCGUAAGCAGGUUUCGUGGAGGGGCGACGCUCAUGAAGGCCCGAGGCCGACUUGGCCGAACGUGACUCCUCCACUUGUUCGCAGCCGCGUAGGCCGACGCUACUGUAACGUAAUGCUUGACCAGAGGAUGGGUCGAUUUUGCCGCGGUUUGAAGUAAAAGUCGAGUCUGUCAUUAGCCGUUUCGAGAGGCACACGGCCGCCGGAGCUCGGGCAUGGACGGGCCGACGCCGCUCGUCUCGGCCAAUCCUGUCGUGGUUGCACAGGAGACCGUCACGGUGGCGUUGAGGUUGACUUUGUCGGGUCUGUCGAGUGGGAGGAUCGGAGCCCGGAUCGGGUGAAGGAGCCAGACCGAUUUCCAGUUGUUUCUCUGUGCUAUUCUAGGAAA